CUGAAAAUGCUGCCAGGCGCCUAUUGUGUAAAUGUAGGUAUUUUGUAAAAAAUAACCUUGAAAUUGUAAAUUGACAUGUGUUUGGUCAGAUUGUGUCAGGUUUGUUUCCUUCCAUACUUUUAGCCAGAAAUCAGUCUCAUAAAGCUAUUUUUGAGUAUAGUUUGUGUAAAAUAAAAAUGUUUAGCUUUGGUAAUAACUUUUCCAAGCUGAACUCCCUCUAGCAAGAUAUUUUUCAGUGCUUUUAUUUACUAUGCACUUAGACUAUGCACUUUUUCUGAAAUAUUUUUGUAACACUUAACUUUUUUGUAUUUUUGCCAUUUGAAAAGGUUGUGGUGUAGUUGGUCUGUAAUUAAGUUGCAGAUUUAAAACUGCUGUUAGCUUUGUAAAUCAAAAUAUAGGUGUUUUUGUCCUGGUAUAUUGUCGUUCCAUCUGCAGCUGGAGUUG
RNAcentral lists this long non-coding RNA (444 nucleotides) under Bos taurus (domestic cattle). RNAcentral's name for it is "long non-coding RNA NONBTAT023467". The record is from RNAcentral. Lineage: Eukaryota; Metazoa; Chordata; Mammalia; Artiodactyla; Bovidae.